UGGGUGGCUAGCUCAGUUGGUAGAGCAACGGACUCUUAAUCCGUGGGUCCAGGGUUCGAGCCCCUGGCCACCCAUC
Molecule: transfer RNA, 76 nt
Filed under: Lactobacillus apis
Lineage: Bacteria; Bacillati; Bacillota; Bacilli; Lactobacillales; Lactobacillaceae
Description: tRNA-Lys
Rfam family: tRNA
About the family: Transfer RNA (tRNA) molecules are approximately 80 nucleotides in length. Their secondary structure includes four short double-helical elements and three loops (D, anti-codon, and T loops).
Source: RNAcentral